GAGGACGUGGCGUAAUGGUAGCGCAUUGGAUUUCGGCCCUCCAAAGGCUGCGGGUUCGAGUCCUGUCGUCCUCU
Molecule: transfer RNA, 74 nt
Filed under: Yarrowia lipolytica CLIB122
Lineage: Eukaryota; Fungi; Ascomycota; Dipodascomycetes; Dipodascales
Description: tRNA YALI0_B06182r
Rfam family: tRNA
About the family: Transfer RNA (tRNA) molecules are approximately 80 nucleotides in length. Their secondary structure includes four short double-helical elements and three loops (D, anti-codon, and T loops).
Source: RNAcentral